Molecule: long non-coding RNA, 923 nt
Filed under: Cricetulus griseus (Chinese hamster)
Lineage: Eukaryota; Metazoa; Chordata; Mammalia; Rodentia; Cricetidae
Description: lncRNA (ENSCGRG00015034333.1)
Source: RNAcentral
CUGCCACCUCUCUUCUCUCCUACACUGUGCUGCAGAGUGAACCCAGGUCUUGCAUAUGCAAGGCAAGGGCUCUCCUUCUGGGCUACAGUCCCAGCCUAAUCCUUCAAUAUACUAAGAUCUUUGUAUAGGUCCUUGAUUUAGUCCUCAAAAUGAUCUUGUGUUAGUCCCACAUGAUAGAGAAAACUGUGGACUCAGAUUGGUUAGCAAAUCACUGAAAUUCACAGUGCUGAUGAAUAAGAGAACUGGAAUCUGACCCCAGGAAAUUCCUAUCUUUUCCAAGCUAAGACGUUUGGCCAUAUUGUCGUCUUCUCUCUUGAAUCGGUUUUGCCAAACUCUUCUGUCAUUGAAUGUGCUUAGUGUUGAACUAGCAUUCUUUGCUUCUUUUAUGAUGUUAAGUAAAAGGCAGUUCUGAGGUUCUGCCUCUGAGUCUCUGUAUCCAGUAACCGAGACAGACAAAUGGCACUGCUAUUAGUGCGUAUGUAGUAAAGCUAGGAGAACUAUAUGGAAUUGCCAACACUGCCCAUUUUUUUUGACUUUAUCAAAUGGCAUUUCAAAUGGUCAGGCUAAUGUUUGCCAAGCCCCUACUUACUUGGGUCCAAGAUUGGUUCCUGGCAUUUCUCUUAUGUUAUUUCCUUCAAUGUUCACAGUAAUCCGUCAAAGUAUUUUUACCUUAUCAGGAAACAGAUUGAUUCAGCAGCUGAGAAAUCAGACUCCAGCUGAUGUGGUCGAGCCAAGUUCAUGUUCCAGAUGGGUCCCUUUCCACUGCACAGCUCUGAAGGUUGAGUCCAGGAGCUAAGCUGGCAUCCAGUGGGUGAGGAGGCAGGGCUACAUCAAGUGGCAGACUGAAGUUACGUCAAUUUUGACAGGAAACGAGAAUGGGAGGCAGCUUCAGAGAGAAACCCACACAUCUGCAGACUCUUUCU